Flavobacterium sp. is the source of this 32-nucleotide regulatory RNA element. It matches the Rfam family "DUF805b RNA". Rfam says of the family: Bacteroidetes, Chlorobi (1 example), Proteobacteria. Lineage (Flavobacteria) NCBI's taxonomy places the organism in Bacteria, Pseudomonadati, Bacteroidota, Flavobacteriia, Flavobacteriales, Flavobacteriaceae. The record is from Rfam.
AAAGUGGAAACCGAAAAACUAAAGAGUAGGUA